GUCCAGGUGGCAGAUUCCGGAUUAAUGCAGAAGACCUAAGCCCUUCUUACAGGGGUUCAACUCCCCUCCUAGACU
This 75-nucleotide transfer RNA is filed under the name Poecilia reticulata (guppy). RNAcentral's name for it is "tRNA (ENSPREG00000000006.1)". It matches the Rfam family "tRNA". Rfam says of the family: Transfer RNA (tRNA) molecules are approximately 80 nucleotides in length. Their secondary structure includes four short double-helical elements and three loops (D, anti-codon, and T loops). The record is from Rfam by way of RNAcentral. Lineage: Eukaryota; Metazoa; Chordata; Actinopteri; Cyprinodontiformes; Poeciliidae.